RNAcentral lists this ribosomal RNA (1340 nucleotides) under uncultured bacterium. Its description in RNAcentral is "bacterial SSU rRNA". It matches the Rfam family "Bacterial small subunit ribosomal RNA", at positions 28 to 1381 of the family's 1533-position model. The record is from RNAcentral.
GAUGAACGCUGGCGGCGUGCUUAACACAUGCAAGUCGAACGAUGAAGGGAGCCUGCUCCUGGAUUAGUGGCGAACGGGUGAGUAACACGUGAGUAACCUGCCCUUGACUCUGGGAUAAGCCUGGGAAACUGGGUCUAAUACCGGAUAUGACCUUCCAUCGCAUGGUGGUUGGUGGAAAGCUUUUGUGGUUUUGGAUGGACUCGCGGCCUAUCAGCUUGUUGGUGGGGUAAUGGCCUACCAAGGCGACGACGGGUAGCCGGCCUGAGAGGGUGACCGGCCACACUGGGACUGAGACACGGCCCAGACUCCUACGGGAGGCAGCAGUGGGGAAUAUUGCACAAUGGGCGGAAGCCUGAUGCAGCGACGCCGCGUGAGGGAUGACGGCCUUCGGGUUGUAAACCUCUUUCAGUAGGGAAGAAGCGUAAGUGACGGUACCUGCAGAAGAAGCGCCGGCUAACUACGUGCCAGCAGCCGCGGUAAUACGUAGGGCGCAAGCGUUAUCCGGAAUUAUUGGGCGUAAAGAGCUCGUAGGCGGUUUGUCGCGUCUGCCGCGAAAGUCCGGGGCUCAACUCCGGAUCUGCGGUGGGUACGGGCAGACUAGAGUGAUGUAGGGGAGACUGGAAUUCCUGGUGUAGCGGUGAAAUGCGCAGAUAUCAGGAGGAACACCGAUGGCGAAGGCAGGCCUCUGGGCAUUAACUGACGCUGAGGAGCGAAAGCAUGGGGAGCGAACAGGAUUAGAUACCCUGGUAGUCCAUGCCGUAAACGUUGGGCACUAGGUGUGGGGGACAUUCCACGUUUUCCGCGCCGUAGCUAACGCAUUAAGUGCCCCGCCUGGGGAGUACGGCCGCAAGGCUAAAACUCAAAGGAAUUGACGGGGGCCCGCACAAGCGGCGGAGCAUGCGGAUUAAUUCGAUGCAACGCGAAGAACCUUACCAAGGCUUGACAUGAACCGGAAACGCCUGGAAACAGGUGCCCCACUUGUGGUCGGUUUACAGGUGGUGCAUGGUUGUCGUCAGCUCGUGUCGUGAGAUGUUGGGUUAAGUCCCGCAACGAGCGCAACCCUCGUUCUAUGUUGCCAGCACGUGAUGGUGGGGACUCAUAGGAGACUGCCGGGGUCAACUCGGAGGAAGGUGGGGACGACGUCAAAUCAUCAUGCCCCUUAUGUCUUGGGCUUCACGCAUGCUACAAUGGCCGGUACAAAGGGUUGCGAUACUGUGAGGUGGAGCUAAUCCCAAAAAGCCGGUCUCAGUUCGGAUUGGGGUCUGCAACUCGACCCCAUGAAGUCGGAGUCGCUAGUAAUCGCAGAUCAGCAACGCUGCGGUGAAUACGUUCCCGGGCCU